Molecule: ribosomal RNA, 703 nt
Filed under: Vibrio sp. K883
Lineage: Bacteria; Pseudomonadati; Pseudomonadota; Gammaproteobacteria; Vibrionales; Vibrionaceae
Description: bacterial SSU rRNA
Rfam family: Bacterial small subunit ribosomal RNA
Source: RNAcentral
GUCGCAGCGGAAACGAGUUAUCUGAACCUUCGGGGAACGAUAACGGCGUCGAGCGGCGGACGGGUGAGUAAUGCCUAGGAAAUUGCCUUGAUGUGGGGGAUAACCAUUGGAAACGAGUGGCUAAUACCGCAUAAUGCCUACGGGCCAAAGAGGGGGACCUUCGGGCCUCUCGCGUCAAGAUAUGCCUAGGUGGGAUUAGCUAGUUGGUGAGGUAAUGGCUCACCAAGGCGACGAUCCCUAGCUGGUCUGAGAGGAUGAUCAGCCACACUGGAACUGAGACACGGUCCAGACUCCUACGGGAGGCAGCAGUGGGGAAUAUUGCACAAUGGGCGCAAGCCUGAUGCAGCCAUGCCGCGUGUAUGAAGAAGGCCUUCGGGUUGUAAAGUACUUUCAGCAGUGAGGAAGGGGGUGUCGUUAAUAGCGGCAUCUCUUGACGUUAGCUGCAGAAGAAGCACCGGCUAACUCCGUGCCAGCAGCCGCGGUAAUACGGAGGGUGCGAGCGUUAAUCGGAAUUACUGGGCGUAAAGCGCAUGCAGGUGGUUUGUUAAGUCAGAUGUGAAAGCCCGGGGCUCAACCUCGGAACUGCACUUUGAAACUGGCAAACUAGAGUACUGUAGAGGGGGGUAGAAUUUCAGGUGUAGCGGUGAAAUGCGUAGAGAUCUGAAGGAAUACCAGUGGCGAAGUGCGAGCCCCCUGGCACAGA